UACAGAGGGCUCAAGCGUUGUUCGGAUUCAUUGGGCGUAAAGGGUGCGUAGGCGGCGCGGUAAGUCGGGUGUGAAAUCUCGGAGCUUAACUCCGAAACUGCAUUCGAUACUGCCGUGCUUGAGGACUGGAGAGGAGACUGGAAUUUACGGUGUAGCGGUGAAAUGCGUAGAUAUCGUAAGGAACACCAGUGGCGAAGGCGGGGCUCUGGACAGUUCCUGACGCUGAGGCACGAAGGUCAGGGGAGCAAACGGG
RNAcentral lists this ribosomal RNA (253 nucleotides) under uncultured bacterium. RNAcentral describes it as "partial 16S ribosomal RNA". It matches the Rfam family "Bacterial small subunit ribosomal RNA", at positions 524 to 776 of the family's 1533-position model. The record is from RNAcentral.